AUAGCCAAGAAAGAGGAAGGAUGAGAGCUUUGUAAUAGUCUCUCCUCCCUGGUAGGUCUGUCCUUUUCAUGGGUGGCAUUAUCUUCAAGGUUUUCAUACUUUCCUAAAAAAUUGAAAUUAUGCUGCACUCAUUCCAUCGCUUAAUGACCUGGUCCACCUUUACCACCUGGACCCUGAGGUCUGUGUUCUUAUUCUAUAUACUUUUGUCUUGUAAACUUAGGGCAUGAUUUCAUGAUAACUACUGCUUGAUUUUAUCACGAAAACUGUUUAUAUCCCUUCACCUGCAACAUUUAUUAAUUUAUUAUGCUUGAACUUGUUUAUUUUUUAUUGCUUGUUGUUUUCCUGGACAUAGGUUGCUUUCUUGAUAUAUCGCCCUGUGAUGAGACUUCUCAAGUCUCAGAGGAGUCCUGAUGUUUGCUGGCCAUUGAAUAGAUAAUCUUGGAAAGUAUAACAUCUUGAUUCUUGCAUGCAUGAAAACAAAACGGGUCUUUCAAAAUAUCUUACCAUUCUUAUCUGUGAGCAAUACUUUGGUUGAUCAUAUAUACUUAAUGCCAUCACAUUUCUAUGGACAAUUGAUUUUUAAUCUGUAGGGUAGUCAAGCUUAUAUACUGGACGACAUUAUCGACCAUGUUAAAUAUUUGCAGCUUUAAUUAAAGGAACUAAGUGGAAGUAGACUACAAGCUGAAUCAACUGCUAUACCACUGGUUUUCCAUGAGGUAUAUGUCUUGUCCUUAACCUUAGAAGAUAAUAAUGUACACAAAAUCAUUAUGAAUUCAUGUGCUAGUAUGGAGAAUAAUAUAAGGCAAAUAAUGGAGAUGCAUGUUUUGAAGCAAGCAAGGUAAAUGAAUCGUCCCCCACACUAGUCAUGCUCUGAUCUUCUUUAAUGGAAUGAAUUCCGAUCCCUUUUAUUUCCCUCUUGCUCCAUUGAAAAGGACUAUCAUUGAAGGGGCUCCACCUCCACACUUAGCUUUAAUUUGUUUCUUGAAAAAUAGGAGCAGAGGGUGUUGUUGCUUUCUUAUAAUUACCACUUGCUUUGUACCUAGGGUCACUAGUGGAUCUACAUUAUCACAAGGAUAUGCUAUUCACUAGUUUGAUUUGAUAAUAGUUUUAUUUUUUCUAAAAGAAUCCAAGAUUGUAUAAAAAUGAAUGUGAUUUUGAUCUUACAACACUGGAUU
Long non-coding RNA from Arachis duranensis, 1175 nucleotides. RefSeq lists it as uncharacterized. The transcript is spliced from 3 exons. The record is from RefSeq and is a predicted model, not a curated record. Lineage: Eukaryota; Viridiplantae; Streptophyta; Magnoliopsida; Fabales; Fabaceae.